UGCCUUGCUGCUGGACCCAAACAUCUACAGAACAAUGCCACAGAAGAGGUUGAAGAGAACUCUGAUAAGAAAAAUGUUCAAUUUGUAUUUAAGCAAACAGUGAACGACGUUUGCAAUCAACUAAAAAUUCGUCUAUCGAGUUAGGUCUGAGAAUUGCUAUAAAGAGUGUGGCCGUAUGUCUGAUGGCUCCCUUUUCAGGACUAGGGUCUCACGGGGCACAGUGUGUUAAUAUUUACCUAAAUAACUCUUGUCAAUGGUUUUUGAAAAAAACCUCGGUUUCAAAAUAUUUGAAUGAUCUCCAUAUUUUCAUUUAACCUCUGACUCUUUAAAUUUUUUUCCUGAGGAAAGUGUUUUGAGUUUUUUAACGUUAAAAAAAUUGUAUUUUUUUUAAAAUAUCUUCAAACUGAAUCUUUUAUGCACCAAAGUUGGUUUUGAAAAGGAAAAUAAAAUCACUUUCUUGCUUGGCAGGCAAGAAGCCAUAUGGAAUUUUUUUAACUUUUACAGAAAUGUGUAACUUGUCAGUACUGUAUCAAACAAAUGUUGCAUAGAGAUAAUAGAGCGUUGCUUGUAAAUAAUUCAGCAGAUUUGUAAUAUAUUUUUCUAUUAUGAAAUGUACUGUAGAUGUUUUCUAGAGGCAUGAAAGUCAAUGUAUAUAUUAUGGUAGAAAUAAUAUUGAAGGAAAUUGUAACUCACUAGUGCUGCCAGAGGGAUUGCUAACAAAGCACCUUUAACGAGAGAUGUCUGUGCAGACUGAAGGGACUGUGUACUACUGUUAAUGUCUA
Molecule: long non-coding RNA, 782 nt
Filed under: Rattus norvegicus (Norway rat)
Lineage: Eukaryota; Metazoa; Chordata; Mammalia; Rodentia; Muridae
Description: long non-coding RNA NONRATT021001
Source: RNAcentral